Melozone crissalis (California towhee) is the source of this 309-nucleotide non-coding RNA. Lineage: Eukaryota; Metazoa; Chordata; Aves; Passeriformes; Passerellidae. The record is from the annotation of a RefSeq genome assembly.
GUGGCCGUGACCCUGCUAGAGUGCGGGGGGGACCUCCAGCCCCCCGGGGGGUCCCUGCGCCUCCUCUGCCGAGGGUCCGGCUUCAGUUUCGGCAAUUUUGGCAUGCACUGGAUCCGCCAGAGACCCGGGCAGGGGCUGGAGUGGCUCGCAGGGAUCAGUGACAAUGGUGGCAGCACCAAGUACGCGCCGUCGGUCAAGGGUCGGUUCAGGAUCGCCAGGGAAAACGGGCAGAGCUCGGUGACGCUGACCAUGAACAACCUCAAGGACGAGGAUUCCGGGUCCUAUUUCUGUGCCAAACGUGACAAUGGU